AGUGAUAUUAUACCCCUUUCGUCAAACUGACAGGUCAUUAAUUAUUCAUGAGCUCCGGAAGUCCGGAAGUAAUUACUUCCGGAGCUCCGGAAGUAAUUAAAUUAUUCAUGAGCUCCGGAAGUAGGAAGUAAUUAAGUAAUAAAAAUAUGAUAUUCAUAAAAAUAUGAUAUUCAUAAAAAUAUGAUAUUCAUAAAAAUAUGAUAUUCAUAAAAUUAUGAUAUUCAUAAAAAUAUAAUAUUCAUAAAAUAUAAUUGAUUAUUUAGAAAGUUUCUUAUAUAUCAAAAUAGCAUUCUUUUAUUUCUUUAAGCAAUUAAAUUUUUUUUAAAUUUUUUUAUGCUCAAAAAACGCCAUCUGGUGGCGGGUCUGAGUGUUUGUGUGUGCGCACGCCCGCGCGCUCCCUGAGGCUGUGUGUCUGCGUGUCUCCGGACCGUGCUCUCUCGGGCUCCGUGCUCAUGUGUUUAAAAAUGUAUUAAACCAUAUUAAAAUUGUUUAGUUAAACUUGUGCUUUUGUAACGUUCAGUAUGGCCACAAACACAUGCUGCAUGCAUUGGGGGAAAACUUUAUUUCGAUUUAUAUGCAUUUGUAGAUUUAGAAUAAAACUCAUACUCAGAAAAAACUCGCGAUCCCCUAACCCUAACCCUCCUUAGAAACAUAAGCAGGGAAAACUCCUUAAAAAACCCUCCGCGUUUUCUCCAAAACCCUACAAUAACUUGUUAGGGUACCCCCUCUAUUCCCAAAACCUUAUAUUCGAUAACAGGGGAAAUCCUGAAAAAAUCCUUAGUCUUUUUUCUCAAAUUCAGCGCCCCGCGGCUCCCUUCAUGCUCAGCCAAACAAAGCCAAAACUCCUUUAAAAAAAAUCUCCGCGAUUUCUCCAAAACCUAGAAUAACUUGUUAGCUACCCCUCUAUUCCCAAAAACCUUAUAUUCGAUAACAGGGAAAAUCCUUAGUCUUUUUUCUUCAAAAACUUCCCUCUUACUAGCAAGCUCUAAAAUUCAACCCACACUCUAAGUUCUACCUCGCUCUUAAUCUCCGAUCCACAACUUCUUGCAGAGCACAAUUUUUUCCUGCUUGUUCGCUCCCUGCUCUGCUCCCGAAUGCGCUGCUUACCUCGUUUGAAAAUUCCCCCCUUAGACCAACUCCGCCUCACUGCGCCCCGCUGCCAAUCACAUAACCCUUGCACCGCUCCCUUUGCACUCCGGUUAGCCAAUCCGCUCCAGGUCCGAUUUUUAUGAUCUCCCGCUCAGGUUAAGACUACCCCCGAGCUCCCAGAAGACCCCUGCCUUCAGCCAUAUCAACAACUGGAACCGCUCAGACUGCUUGCGAGUUCGCAUAGGGAGCGGCCGAUUUCAACAGCAACUUGCGUCUCUUUCCUUAUCCGCAUAUCAUUCGACCCAGAUGUGUUAACCUGAUCCCUGCGAAACACCAGCUCUGCGUGGAUUUUGACCGCGAGUGACCGGAUGUUGUUUCCGGCCUGAGGUUGCCUGAAAUGCCGUGAGGCUCGUUUGAAAGAUUGCGCCCGAGACCAACUCCGCCUCCAAGGCAUGCCUACCUUUAGCUGCCACCAGUGAGAUAUCAGAGCCGGGCUCCACAUAUCCAAUCAGGAGCACGAGCAAGACAGCUUUUGCAGACUCUCCAGAAAUAUACAAGUCCUUACCAACUGCUCUGCAACCCAGUGUUUCUGGUCCCCUCACUAACAUCGCUUUUUGAGAUAUUUUUUAUGAACCACCAAAAAAGCAAUUUUACCCCACAGUACAGAAGACUGGGUCUGAGGGCAGCAGCGGGGACAAAUGAUUGUAAUGAAGCGACGGACAUUUCAUGGCUGGUCUUGCAUAAUCGUGAGUUAUUAUGUCAUAUGGUGAUAAGUACAUAGUUUUGCAAGAGGCAUACAAGCACUGUGGAAAAAGUAAUCAUAAAACUGUUUUUGUGAACACCCUACGUCAUGCUUUAAAAAAUGUGAUACAUGUAAUGUGAUCAUCAAAGAACAUGAUUUAAAAAAAAAAAACUUUUAUUCUUAUGCUUUUAAAGUAUGUCAGAUUAUCUUAAAACACUUAUUUGUAUGUUAUAAUGUUUUUCUUACACCAUGUGUAAUUUUUAUAGACACCUUAUUCAUUGUAUCAAUGUGUAAUUAUGUAUCUUUGAUAAAUAAAUAAAAUAUUUAAUCUUG
This is a long non-coding RNA of Haplochromis burtoni (Burton's mouthbrooder), 2164 nucleotides long. RefSeq lists it as uncharacterized. The record is from RefSeq and is a predicted model, not a curated record. NCBI's taxonomy places the organism in Eukaryota, Metazoa, Chordata, Actinopteri, Cichliformes, Cichlidae. The transcript has 2 exons.